AGGCCGACGCAGCAGGCAUGGAGGCUGGCUGUGCCCGGGCUGCCCCUCCCCAGGAAAAGCCCUGUGGGGAUGAGCCACUGGCAGGGCCGUGCCCGGUGCCUGCCCAGCCCCUGGCACACAGCGUUCCUGCCUGCCCCGCUGGCAGCGCAGCCGUCCCGCAGCCCCCGGCCCCACGGCAAUGGCGCUCCAUGGCCAAGAGGGCCCGGCGGGCUCUGCGCCGCCUUUUCUCCUUCAGCUGCCUCUGCGGGCGGCCGGAGCAGUGAGCCCGGGGCCAGCACUGGGACGCUCACCAAAGAUGCCUCAGGGCUCACCCUGGGCAUGCCCAGCUCCCAGGGGCAGCGGCAGCUCCCGGAGACAGUCGCACCAGGAAGAGUAAAACACCUGAUGCACUGAAUGGAUGGAUGGCGCCCAAGGCAACCACCUCCUAAAGGGCCAUCCCCACCCUUCCCUCAAGGCUGCAUUAGGAGCUGACAACUUCUACUUGGGCCUCAGCCUUGCAGGAACCUCCGGGACUCCCAGUGCAGAGACAUGCAGGGUCAGGACGGACCGAGAGGAUGCUGCUGGAAUCAAGCAUCUUGGACUGACCUCUGCUUGAUCUCUCCCCU
Non-coding RNA from Taeniopygia guttata (zebra finch), 605 nucleotides. The record is from RefSeq and is a predicted model, not a curated record. NCBI's taxonomy places the organism in Eukaryota, Metazoa, Chordata, Aves, Passeriformes, Estrildidae.